This 73-nucleotide transfer RNA is filed under the name Felis catus (domestic cat). It matches the Rfam family "tRNA". From Rfam's summary of the family: Transfer RNA (tRNA) molecules are approximately 80 nucleotides in length. RNAcentral also lists the same sequence under 1 other name. Lineage: Eukaryota; Metazoa; Chordata; Mammalia; Carnivora; Felidae. The record is from Rfam by way of RNAcentral.
ACCUGGCUGGCUCCGUCGGUAGAGCAUGGGACUCUUGAUCUCAGGGUCGUGAGUUUGAGCCCCACAUUAGGCA